GACGAACGCUGGCGGCGUGCCUAAUACAUGCAAGUCGAACGAGAGCGACCGGUGCUUGCACUGGUCAAUCUAGUGGCGAACGGGUGAGUAACACGUGGGUAACCUGCCCAUCAGAGGGGGAUAACAUCCGGAAACGGAUGCUAAAACCGCAUAGGUCUUCGAACCGCAUGGUUUGAAGAGGAAAAGAGGCGCAAGCUUCUGCUGAUGGAUGGACCCGCGGUGCAUUAGCUAGUUGGUGAGGUAACGGCUCACCAAGGCCGUGAUGCAUAGCCGACCUGAGAGGGUGAUCGGCCACAUUGGGACUGAGACACGGCCCAAACUCCUACGGGAGGCAGCAGUAGGGAAUCUUGCGCAAUGGACGCAAGUCUGACGGAGCAACGCCGCGUGAGUGAAGAAGGUUUUCGGAUCGUAAAACUCUGUUGUUAGAGAAGAACAAGUGCUAGAGUAACUGUUAGCGCCUUGACGGUAUCUAACCAGAAAGCCACGGCUAACUACGUG
Molecule: ribosomal RNA, 498 nt
Filed under: uncultured bacterium
Lineage: Bacteria
Description: partial 16S ribosomal RNA
Rfam family: Bacterial small subunit ribosomal RNA
Source: RNAcentral